GAUUUUUAACUCUCAAUUAUUACGUCAUUUCACCUCCUUCAUCCGAGAUUACCCGCUGAACUUAAGCAUAUCAAUAAGCGGAGGAAAAGAAACCAACAGGGAUUGCCUCAGUAACGGCGAGUGAAGCGCAAAGCUCAAAUUUGAAACCCUCGGGAUUGUAAUUUGAAGAUUUGGCAUUGGAGAAAGCUAACCCAAGUUGCUUGGAAUAGUACGUCAUAGAGGGUGACAACCCCGUCUGGCUAACCGUUCUCCAUGUAUUGCCUUAUCAAAGAGUCGAGUUGUUUGGGAAUGCAGCUCAAAGUGGGUGGUAAACUCCAUCUAAAGCUAAAUACUGGUGAGAGACCGAUAGCGAACAAGUACUGUGAAGGAAAGGUGAAAAGAACUUUGAAAAGAGAGUGAAAUAGUAUGUGAAAUUGUUGAUAGGGAAGGAAAUGAGUGGAGAGUGGCCGAGGUUUCAGCCGCCCCUCGUGGGCGGUGUACUGCCGACGCCGAGUCAUCGAUAGCGAGACGAGGGUUACAAAUGGGAGCGCCUUCGGGCGUUCUCCCCU
This 548-nucleotide ribosomal RNA is filed under the name Yarrowia lipolytica. RNAcentral describes it as "LSU rRNA". It matches the Rfam family "Eukaryotic large subunit ribosomal RNA", at positions 1 to 503 of the family's 3401-position model. The record is from RNAcentral. Lineage: Eukaryota; Fungi; Ascomycota; Dipodascomycetes; Dipodascales.